GAUGAACGCUGGCGGCGUGCCUAAUACAUGCAAGUCGAGCGAACGGACGAGAAGCUUGCUUCUCUGAUGUUAGCGGCGGACGGGUGAGUAACACGUGGAUAACCUACCUAUAUGACUGGGAUAACUUCGGGAAACCGGAGCUAAUACCGGAUAAUAUUUUGAACCGCAUGGUUCAAAAGUGAAAGACGGUCUUGCUGUCACUUAUAGAUGGAUCCGCGCUGCAUUAGCUAGUUGGUAAGGUAACGGCUUACCAAGGCAACUAUGCAUAGCCGACGUGAGAGAGUGAUCGGCGACACUAGAACUGGGACACGGACCAGACUCCUACGGUAGGCAGCAGUAGGGAAUCUGCCGCAGUGGUCGAGAGCCUGGCGGAGCGACGCCGCGUGAGUUAUGAAGGUCUUCGGUUCGUAAUACUCUGUUAUUAGGGAACAACAUAUUUGUAAGUAACUGUGCACAGCUUGACGGUACCUAAUCAGAAAGCCACGGCUAACUACGUG
Molecule: ribosomal RNA, 497 nt
Filed under: uncultured bacterium
Lineage: Bacteria
Description: partial 16S ribosomal RNA
Rfam family: Bacterial small subunit ribosomal RNA
Source: RNAcentral